Molecule: ribosomal RNA, 253 nt
Filed under: uncultured bacterium
Lineage: Bacteria
Description: partial 16S ribosomal RNA
Rfam family: Bacterial small subunit ribosomal RNA
Source: RNAcentral
UACGUAGGGUGCAAGCGUUGUCCGGAAUUACUGGGCGUAAAGAGUUCGUAGGCGGUUUGUCGCGUCGUUUGUGAAAACCAGCAGCUCAACUGCUGGCUUGCAGGCGAUACGGGCAGACUUGAGUACUGCAGGGGAGACUGGAAUUCCUGGUGUAGCGGUGAAAUGCGCAGAUAUCAGGAGGAACACCGGUGGCGAAGGCGGGUCUCUGGGCAGUAACUGACGCUGAGGAACGAAAGCGUAGGUAGCGAACAGG